This 236-nucleotide ribosomal RNA is filed under the name uncultured bacterium. RNAcentral describes it as "partial 16S ribosomal RNA". It matches the Rfam family "Bacterial small subunit ribosomal RNA", at positions 103 to 334 of the family's 1533-position model. The record is from RNAcentral.
CGGGUGAGUAACACGUGGGUUACCUACCCCGAUGAUUGGGACAACCCGAGGAAACUCGGGCUAAUACCAAAUGUGCUCCUGGCCAUAAUGGCCUUGAGGAAAGGAAGCUUCGGCCUCCGCAUCGGGAUGGGCCCGCGGCCCAUUAGCUAGUUGGUGGGGUAACGGCCUACCAAGGCGACGAUGGGUAGCUGGUCUGAGAGGACGAUCAGCCACACUGGGACUGAGACACGGCCCAG